Molecule: ribosomal RNA, 461 nt
Filed under: uncultured bacterium
Lineage: Bacteria
Description: SSU rRNA
Rfam family: Bacterial small subunit ribosomal RNA
Source: RNAcentral
AGAAUCAACGCUGGCGGCGUGCCUAACACAUGCAAGUCGCACGAGAAAGGGACUUCGGUCCUGAGUAAAGUGGCGCACGGGUGAGUAACACGUGAAUCAUCUACCUCCGAAUGGGGAAUAACUGAGAGAAAUCUUAGCUAAUACCGCAUAAUACCUACGGGUCAAAGCAGCAAUGCGUUUGGAGAGGAGGUUCGCGGUCGAUUAGUUAGUUGGCGGGGUAAUGGCCCACCAAGACGAUGAUCGAUAUCCGGCCUGAGAGGGCGCACGGACACACUGGAACUGAAACACGGUCCAGACUCCUACGGGAGGCAGCAGUGGGGAAUUUUGCGCAAUGGGGGAAACCCUGACGCAGCAACGCCGCGUGGAGGAUGAAAUAUCUUGGUAUGUAAACUCCUUUCGAUGGGGAAGAUAAUGACGGUACCCAUAGAAGAAGCCCCGGCUAACUUCGUGCCAGCAGCCGC